This 442-nucleotide ribosomal RNA is filed under the name uncultured Chloroflexota bacterium. Its description in RNAcentral is "bacterial SSU rRNA". It matches the Rfam family "Bacterial small subunit ribosomal RNA", at positions 338 to 795 of the family's 1533-position model. Lineage: Bacteria; Bacillati; Chloroflexota. The record is from RNAcentral.
CCUACGGGUGGCAGCAGUGAGGAAUCUUCCGCAAUGGGCGAAAGCCUGACGGAGCGACGCCGCGUGUGGGAUGAAGUCCUUCGGGAUGUAAACCACUGUCGAGAGGGAAGAGAACGGACGGUACCUCUCAAGAAAGCCCCGGCUAACUACGUGCCAGCAGCCGCGGUAAUACGUAGGGGGCAAGCGUUACCCGGAUUCACUGGGCGUAAAGCGCGUGUAGGCGGCUGAUCAAGCGUGAUGUGAAAUCUCCGGGCUCAACCCGGAAACUGCAUUGCGAACUGGUCUGGCUAGAGUGCAGGAGAGGGCAGCAGAAUUCCUGGUGUAGCGGUGAAAUGCGUAGAUAUCAGGAGGAAUACCAGUGGCGAAGGCGGCUGCCUGGCCUGUAACUGACGCUGAGACGCGAAAGCGUGGGGAGCGAACCGGAUUAGAUACCCCAGUAGUC